AAUUUAGCAGUAACUAAACAUGUCCCAUGUCCAGUUGAAGUUCUAAUGGCCAUGAUAUUUCCAGCGGUUUGCUGGCAGGAAUUGUACAACUUGCAGAACAACUGAAAAGUACAAAAGACAGCCAUAAUGUUUCCUUCUCUGAUGCUGCUAAGUCUGCUGGUACAUAAAUGCUAAGGGGGAUUUGUCUGAAGUCUCUCUCAAAAAAGAAACUUAUUCUGCUUUUGUCAAGUUGCACAUAGAGCAAGGUCCCAUUUUAGAAAAAGGUGUUUCGAUUGGUGUUGUGACUGCGAUUGCCGCUCCAGCAAGCAUCAAAGUAACAUUUGAAGGCAGUGGAGGUCAUGCAGGAGCUGCAUUGAUGCCGAAAAGAAAUGAUGAUGGACUGGCAACUGCUGAGUUGGCUCUAGCCGUGGAGAAACAUGUGCUGAAUUCAGGAUCCGUUGACGCUGUUGGAACUGUUGGUAAGUUAAUGUCUUUUGCCUCAUAAUAGAAGACACUUGUCUAGGGCCAACUACCUUGUGCUUUUAUGAAUCGUUGAACUAA
Molecule: RNA transcript, 540 nt
Organism: Capsicum annuum
Lineage: Eukaryota; Viridiplantae; Streptophyta; Magnoliopsida; Solanales; Solanaceae
Exons: 3
Source: RefSeq, a predicted model, not a curated record